RNAcentral lists this unclassified non-coding RNA (259 nucleotides) under Hevea brasiliensis (rubber tree). The record is from RNAcentral. Lineage: Eukaryota; Viridiplantae; Streptophyta; Magnoliopsida; Malpighiales; Euphorbiaceae.
GAUAAGCCACUUCUUACACAGGUUUGCCAUGUUUGAUUCUUUGAUUUCAAUUUCUAUAAUUUACAUGAACAAAUAUGCCCUUCUGUGAUAAUUGUUUAGAUUAACUAUGGUUUUUAAGUCCUGAUUAAUAAGUAAAUGUAAUUGUUUACAUUCUUUUUAAGAGAACAUUUAUGUUAAAGUUAAUCCUGUUUCAAGUUUUAUUUUGAAGUUAUCAAACUUUCAAUUGAUGUCGCAAAGGUUGUAGGCAUGAACCACCAGU